AACAACUGCCCCCUGGCUAUACAGUGAGCUUUAUUCCAGAAGUAGCUUCUUACACACUUUCAGAACCCAGACCCGGACCCAGAUCCAAAAUUUAGCUCCUUUCUUUGGCUGCUGACUUCUUGUGGCAUUGUCUGCUGCCCUGUACUGAACCACUCAUGCAAUGAUCAUAAGACAGCCCUGCUGUGAGUAUUGCCAAAAAUCACCCAAAAAUAUGGAAUCUUGUGCUAUCUGGGCAAAGAAGCUCCAGCUGUACCUUUGGCUCACAAACCUCUUCAAAUCUUCAUACUUUCACCCAGGUCUACAUGGAAAAGCUUCUCACCAUAAAUAUGCUAUACAGAUGAGAUUUGAAGGCAGGAACAUGUGAUGCCACAGGCAGGGUGGAUUGUUAGAAAAUUGUCUGCUGCACUCAGAGCUAUCACCAAUGAGGCUUGCUCCAUUUUCUGCACAGCACAGACAAACAGCUUUAUAAGACUUUAAAUGUAUAGUAGCAGAUGGCCAGGGGAGCAUGGUGGAUUUACUUCUGGUGUGAAUACAGCAAGGAACAUGGUUUGGGGAGAAGUAUCUGAAAUUUGCCCUGCUCUGAAAACAUCUUGAAGAGGACAGCAGUGGUGGAGAUCAAACAGAUGGCUGUCCUGGGUCAGGAAUACUUAAAAAAUGUAAAGGGAAAUCUCCAUCUAUAAAAUAACUGCAAAUCUGGCAACUCCUUGUCCACCUGCCUUGACUCUGAAGAGUUCACCUGGGUUCUCACUCUCUGUAGAGAGCUCACUGUCCUAGCUGGCCUCUUGUUGUACAGAAAUGGUCUCUUUUUAGAAUGGUAACAGAAGACAGAGCCAGUACCAUAAGACACCCAUGACAGCACAGGGGAUGGUGUCAUUGGAACAGAUUGCAGAAUAAACCAUGGUACUGGAAAGGGGCAGACCAGGCUCCAGGGCCAGACUAAUCCUGCGGCCAUAUUCCAAAGAUUUAUUUCUGGAUGAACCUGAGGAACAGCCUGGACAGGAAGAGGCACUGGUGCUGCAGCUGGGUAAGUGGCAGCCAAUGUCUUUAUUACAGGAGAAAUUUCAACUUACAUUUGUAAGUUAAGAUGUCCUGUAUGGUCUGGCUUUAAUUUUAGUCGUAGUAGAAACAAUGCUU
Alligator sinensis (Chinese alligator) is the source of this 1134-nucleotide long non-coding RNA. RefSeq lists it as uncharacterized. The transcript has 3 exons. Lineage: Eukaryota; Metazoa; Chordata; Crocodylia; Alligatoridae. The record is from RefSeq and is a predicted model, not a curated record.